Molecule: ribosomal RNA, 418 nt
Filed under: uncultured soil bacterium
Lineage: Bacteria
Description: bacterial SSU rRNA
Rfam family: Bacterial small subunit ribosomal RNA
Source: RNAcentral
AGAUUGAACGCUGGCGGCAUGCUUUACACAUGCAAGUCGAACGGUAACAGGCCGCAAGGUGCUGACGAGUGGCGAACGGGGUGAGUAAUGCAUCGGAACGUGCCCAGUCGUGGGGGGAUAACGCAGCGAAAGCUGUGCUAAUACCGCAUACGAUCUAUGGAUGAAAGCGGGGGACCGAAAGGCCUCGCGCGAGUUGGAGCGGCCGAUGGUCAGAUUUAGCUAGUUGGUGGGGUUAAAGGCCCACCGAAGGCGACGAUCUGUAGCUGGUCUGAGAGGACGACCAGCCACACUGGAACUGAGACGACGGUCCAGGACCUCCGUACGGGAGCAGCGAGUGGGGAAUUUGGACAAGUGGGCGACAAGGCCUGACUCCAGCAAUCGACCGCGUGCCGAAGGAACGAACGGCCGUUUACGGGUU